This 475-nucleotide ribosomal RNA is filed under the name uncultured soil bacterium. RNAcentral describes it as "bacterial SSU rRNA". It matches the Rfam family "Bacterial small subunit ribosomal RNA", at positions 26 to 523 of the family's 1533-position model. The record is from RNAcentral.
AGAUUGAACGCUGGCGGCAUGCUUUACACAUGCAAGUCGAACGGUAACAGGCCGCAAGGUGCUGACGAGUGGCGAACGGGUGAGUAAUGCAUCGGAACGUGCCCAGUCGUGGGGGAUAACGCAGCGAAAGCUGUGCUAAUACCGCAUACGAUCUAUGGAUGAAAGCGGGGGACCGAAAGGCCUCGCGCGAUUGGAGCGGCCGAUGUCAGAUUAGCUAGUUGGUGGGGUAAAGGCCCACCAAGGCGACGAUCUGUAGCUGGUCUGAGAGGACGACCAGCCACACUGGAACUGAGACACGGUCCAGACUCCUACGGGAGGCAGCAGUGGGGAAUUUUGGACAAGUGGGCGCAAGCCUGAUCCAGCAAUGCCGGCGUGCGAGAAGAAGGCCUUCGGUUAGUAACGUGUCUUUUAGUACCGGAAACGUAACGGUCGUAGGCUAACGUACCGUCGGCGUUAAGUGUAACGGUAACCGUAA